GCCCGGGUGGCGGAAUAGGCAGACGCACGGGACUUAAAAUCCCGAGUCCUUACGGACGUGGGGGUUCGAUUCCCCCCCCGGGCACCA
RNAcentral lists this transfer RNA (87 nucleotides) under Pseudomonadota bacterium. Its description in RNAcentral is "Proteobacteria bacterium (cold seep metagenome) tRNA-Leu". It matches the Rfam family "tRNA". Rfam says of the family: Transfer RNA (tRNA) molecules are approximately 80 nucleotides in length. Lineage: Bacteria; Pseudomonadati; Pseudomonadota. The record is from RNAcentral.